Molecule: long non-coding RNA, 2367 nt
Organism: Cavia porcellus (domestic guinea pig)
Lineage: Eukaryota; Metazoa; Chordata; Mammalia; Rodentia; Caviidae
Exons: 2
Source: RefSeq, a predicted model, not a curated record
GCCAGACUUUGUUGUGUGUCCUUCCUGCCGGCCAGGAGUGACACCGACAGACUAGAUAUUUACUAAUUUCCAAAUCUACUUAUGAAGAAUUUUAUGUGCACUAUAUAAGGCAUAUUUUUUUCCUAUUAGUCUUGCCUUCAACAGAGUUACUGGUUGCUAACUGGAAGACAGAUAUUUUUUCUCCGUACACAUUCCGUUCGAUUUAGUGCUUUUAUGCUAUUUAAUUUCUAGGUGAAGACAAAGAUUGUUUUUCAUCUUUUUUCGAGAUGAUGAGCAUUUACCUGGCUAGAAGGACUUCACAGCUCUGCUACUUGAUAUUAAUGAUAGAAAAAUUUAAAAUGAGUUCUUAUGAAGAAAGAAUUGCGUCUUUCCCUUCAAGGAGGGUAAAGAGCAUGAGACUAUCCUUCCCAGAGACUGACCUGUAAACCCCUCAUAUCCUGGGGUCUGCAGUACUGUCUGGAUGGACAGAGCCCUGAGCACUGUAUCCUUGCUGCAGAUGUAGAUUUUCCGAGGGAGCCUUGUACCCAAUGCUGCACACAGCAUGGACUUUAGCUCUAUUGUUUCCCCCAGAUACAGAGGACGAUUUAUACCACUGGGCUCACAUGAGAAGCCUCCCACAAUGCUCUUCACUCUUUCUGCACCACUGCACCCACCAGGGAAUUUGCAUUUUAUCCCCAGGGAGGACCUACCCAGGCAAGUUUCAGAUAAAAGCUGGCUCUAGCUGUGCCUUGACUGAUCAGGACUCUUCAGUUCAGUUUCUCAAAAUGAAGCUACCACUUCAGCUCCUGGGGCUGCUACUGCUCCCGGUACGGAUACCGGGAGAUGUGGAAGGGCAGGGGACGAGAGGGUGAAUUUCUGGAUCCCACCGCUCCCUGGGUUAAUGACUACAGAAGAGAUUGAUUAUCGCACAACAUUGGACCUCUGAGUCACUGGAUGACUCGAGUGUACCGUUAUUCCUAUUUCAUCUGUCGGAAACAGCCUCAGAAGGAACAUAGUGUGCAAGACCAUUUGUUUUCUUCCUUGCGCUGGAUCCCCAGGGCUCUUCCCAUCAUUUGAACGGCACCUCCCAUCCUCCUCAUCUUCAGUCUAUUAGAGCAUACGCACCGAAGCUCUGCUGUCUGUGCUCUGACAUUAUAGGCAUGGGAUUCUGCUGUCACUGAAUAUUCUGGCCGCGGAAUACAACUACUGACAAAACACACACAAGCACACACCCACAGAGAGAAACUCAUACACAAACACACACAAUCAGAUCGUUCCUCAAAUACUACAUAGCCACAGUGUAAAAUAGCUAUAACUGUAGUUAUUAAGCAAAAUAUACUGAAAUUUUUAAAAAUCAAUAUUUUACUUUAUCUAAAACGUUGCUCUCUUGUGUGAAAUCUGUUUUUUCAUAUUGAAGUUGUUAUAUUAAUUUUGGUAUUAUUUAUUCUUCAAUCAAGAUGCUAGUCAGAUGACCCAAGGAAUAUUGGCAUCCUUCCUUCAAUUUUGCCUUAAGAUAAAUGCUGCAUGACCCACACACUAAUCUGGCCCAGGAGCUCAAAGCACAGGGAUGAUUUUACAGAGCUCAUAAAGAGGAGACUGCGAGUGAUGGGCAGUGCCUUGUCACUGUGUCAGGACUCACCCUGGGGAAGGAAAACUUCUAAUGUGAAAACACAGGGUGAUUGAUGGCAACCCCAGAGACCUUCACAGACACACAAAGUGCAUUAGACUGUGGAUUGCACUGCCUGGUGAGUGAUACAGAUUUGGUCAUCUGUGUUUGGGAAGGAGACAUUUUGCAGAGGAAACAACUGAGCUUCUGACUGAGAAAAACUGUGCCUCCAUGUACUGGCUCCCACCUAAUUUCAAGCCCACAGAAAUGUUACCGACUGCUACAGGCUGAACAAGUCUGGUAUCAGCCUCAAGGUCAGAAACCAUCCUGAGCUUCGGGGAAAAUAAAGUUGAGGCUCGAUGAGUCUAUACACCACCUCAGCAUAAAGUGACUGCUGGCUUGGUGAGAUAAAUCAACAUGGAUCUGGACUCUGUCUCUACAUAGUCUCUACUAGGGAUAGCAGAGACACAACUGGGAGUAGAGUUUUUAUCUCUCUAUCUACCAUGACUUAUUUUUUCUUUAUUUUUUGAUUUUUUUAUAUGAAUGUAAACAUGGUUUCCAGUUUUCUUGGGGUAGAGGUUCUGUUCUUUUCAUUCUCUGAUUUCUGCUCUUUCCUUGCUAUCUUUUGCACCACGUUCUGAAAAUUGGAGUGAUUCUCCUUUGUCUACCAGCCCUGCUUCUAAUCUCUUCCUUUCCAUCUGUUUCUCUAUUUUUUCUACUAACUGCUCUUACAUUUUCUCCUCUGAAAUUUACAUUAAUAUAUUUAGAGUUUAUACACUGCA